UCCUCCUUUAAAAGUACUCUCUGGGCCUCUGUCCGUGACCCAUUGAGCCGUCAAGAAAGGCAGAGUAUAAACACCGUUUUUGGGUGAAGUGGCAGCGUGUCGUGUUGUUAUGCUUCAAUCGGUGGUGUCACAAGA
Cavia aperea (Brazilian guinea pig) is the source of this 135-nucleotide small nucleolar RNA. The record is from Ensembl. NCBI's taxonomy places the organism in Eukaryota, Metazoa, Chordata, Mammalia, Rodentia, Caviidae.